This 5509-nucleotide long non-coding RNA is filed under the name Lactuca sativa (garden lettuce). RNAcentral's name for it is "long non-coding RNA (LSAT_LNC002113)". The record is from RNAcentral. Lineage: Eukaryota; Viridiplantae; Streptophyta; Magnoliopsida; Asterales; Asteraceae.
UGUGUCCUUUGCGGGAAGCGAAGAAAGGAAGUGAUCACUCACGGGGUUUGUGCUUAAUAAAGUGAAGAAUUUUCGGAUCUGUUCUGAGAGUGUGUGUGAUGUUCUCAGACCUUCUGGAUGCAAAUUCAAUCGGUGACUUACGGUUUGAGUUUUCUUCUCUAUAAUCCUGAGUUUUUCUUAAGCUGAUUCGCUUUAAAGACUAAUUUUUGUUUUUGGACAGUUUAAAUUUGCGCAUUUACUUUCGUUUCUCUCCUAUGCACAAAUUUAGGGGGAGAAAUAAAAACAAAACAAAAAUUAGAAAAUUUUAAAAAAUAUAAAAAAAAUAAAUAUGUUGGUUAUGGAAUGUGCUUUAGGGAGAUGUUUUGGGAAGUGAUAUGAUUAUGUGAUAACAGACAACCUGAGUCUACGUAACGUGCCCAAAGUUGAAGGGUCUAUGCUCUGGUUUGAUGCAUCGGUAGGCACGAAAGAUUCUAAAUGGACAUGACUAGGCAGAGUUGAACUUAAGAAAUCAAAUGACUUGACAAAUCUUGACCUAGUUAGAUCUGUUUAGCCUGAAAAUACGACGCUUGGAUAGGUUGAGCAGGGAGAUAUAUAUAUAUAUGGGAACCUACUCGUCACAUUAAAUAAACCCAUAUUUGGAACAGUGGUUUAACUUUUCCUCGAUGUGCGGAUUCUGUCCUUAAUUCCGGUAUUGAUGGGGCGACUGGUAAAUUCCGAUGAAUUAGGUCUGUAGAAAAUUGUUUUCUCUUCUAUCUGUCUGUUCGUCAUAUGUUACCUCCUCUACGUGACUCAAAAUCCGACCUGGACUAUAACAUAUGCAACUCUAUUUCUCUGCAUCUUCUAUCUAUGCUGUGACAACCCGAUNAUAUAUUAUAUAUAUAUAUAUAUAUAUAUAUAUACAUAUGAAAUUCCUCUUAUCUGUUAGCCAUAUGUUGUCUCAUUUGCGUGACUAACGAUCCAACCUGGCACACAACAUAUGCACUAUAAGUGAUAAUACUCUGAAUCUAUCUUCUCCCCUAAUGAUGGUCUGCUCAUCCGAUGUAACAAGUACUCUGGAAGUCCUUGAUUACCGGGGCAUAUCUGGAAGCGGGAAACAUGUUCCAGUACAAUUAAAAUUGAACACUCAAAGAUUCUCUAUAGAUCUCGCUGCUCAAUUUAGGUGGACAACAAUAUCCCUGGUCAUCGUCAGCUGAAUGGUCCUUAAGAUAUAGUAUCUAGAAACUUAGGAUCAGAUAUAAUAUCUAUGAAUUUAGGAUCACAUUUUCUUGUCACUUAUAGUAUGUCCUAAUUUUGUCACAGUUUUUCGUGUUUAAGUCGACAACAAUACCGACGAUCGACCAAACAAAGACGUGAAGAUAGAAGGUACCGACAAGCGGAUAAAGGCUGUCUAAAAACUUUGAUCCCAAAUCAUUCUUAAAGUUAGAUAUCAUUUUAUUUUUAUUAAAUUUGUUCAUAGUUUUCCUCUAUGCACAAAUUUUAGGAGGAGAACUAAAAAUAAUUCAAAAAUCAGAAAAUUAAAAAUCCAAAAAUAGUGUUAUUUCUUAUUCAGAAAAAUCAGAAAAUCCAAAAAUAUUUUUGUUUCUGUUUUUAUUUUUCCAGAAAAUAUCAAAAAUCCAAAAAUAUUUUUUUUGUGCUAAUUUUUCUUUUAGUUUUGUUUUGUCUUGAAAAGUGAUUUCAGGCGUAGAUGAGACUCGUGGAGACUGUAUUGAAGAUCUUCUGAGCCAAGGCUUCAUCCGUGAGCAUCGAAGAAUUCGCAUUCGAAGGAGCAAGAAAUGAAGAUUAUUCUUUCGACAUUCGAAGGAGCAAGAAAUGAAGAUUAUUCGCAUGGUGAAGCUGUAAUUGAAGAUUAUGUGACUGAUUGCAUUGAAGCCUCCUCAAUCAAUUUGCUCCUAUCUAUGAACCUGCUAAAGUGAUCCAAAAGAUUAUUUCUCUCCGUUGUUCUCUCUGAAGAUUCUUAAGCUGAAAGCGCUAUCUUUCAAGAAUCAGUACAUCAAGCCUCCUCACCCAACGUGCGUUCAAUGCCAAAUUUUGAAGAGAAUCCCAACUGCUCAAGAUGAAGUCAUUGAAGAUUAAAGCUGAAGUCAAGCUCCCAUUGAAGAUUAAUAAGAAAAAGCCAGCUACUUUUUAGGGGGAGCUUGUUGGUUCAUUUAGAAAAGAAAUCUAUAAACCAAGGGGGAGAUUGUUAGGUCAAAAAUAUGGUUUAUACUUUGCUUUUCUAGGAAAAUAUAUUUUUAUAUAAUGUUGUAUGUGUUUGCGGUUUGUGUGUACGGCCGCACACCCUGUGUACGGUCGUACAUUGGGUGUGCGGUUGUACACAUGUGUAUGGCUGGAGGUCCAUAUAAAUAGAGGAGUGCAUGUAGGAGUGUACGGUGAAAAGAGGUUAAGUGUCUAGAGAAGAGAGAGAAAGUUAGAGAGAAGAAGAGUGUGUGAGAGAUAAUCUAUUGUAAGGAGCAUCAAUCAUAUUCAUUCAAUACAUCAUAGAUUCAUCUUAAUUCUUCUUCUCAUUCUCUUCUAUAUUGAUCUGACAUCAUCCAAUUGAUUGGGAUUCCGCACCAUCAAUUGGAUCUGACUGAUACACAAACAAUUUUGGGGACUUACAAUUGGUAUCAGAGCUUGGUUGUAUCAAUCAAUUUUUUCAGAUCUGGAGCUUAUUUGAUCUUAUUUUGAAAAGAGAAUAGAGUUUUUGGAUAGAUCUCGCAAAAAUAAGGGGGGUUACUUCUUUGCAUUUUUCAUAAAAAUGAGUUUUUGAUCGCGUUUUGGAGCAAAAAAGGGUGAAAAACGUCGUUUUUUUUCGCGAAUCUGUUGAAGGACGACCACUUGAAGGUGUGCGGAUCAGCAGCCUCGGAGUGCGGCUCGGAGUAUACGGCUCGGUAUGUGCGCCUCGGUGUGCGGCCUUGGUAUAUGGCUCGGUCUCGCCUCUGGUUCACGGCUCAGCAGUAUCGUUCUCGGCUUCGCAGCUCUAGUCCUCGCUGCGUAGCCAUCCUCGCUCAACAGCUUUCGUAUAAAAAAAAGGAAACGGAAUUAGAAGGUACCGGGAAUCGAACCCGGGACCUCUGGUUCUACAACAUUGCGCUCUACCAGCUCAACCAGGAAAGUCUUUGUGUCAUCCCUUCAAAGUUUAAAUCAUAACCUGUCCUUCUCGGUUUAUAAUUUCGCAAAUUGACAAUUUCAACCCAAAAAUCAAUUUUCUUUAUUUCUAAAUUCUAUUUUCAACCCAAAUUUUUUUGUUAUUAAUUUUUGAUUUUUUUUUAUCUUUGACCUUAAAAUUUUGACUUUGACUUUUAAAAUUUGACCUUUGACUUUAAAUUUUGACUUUCUCGUUUGACUUUUAGUUUUUCAAAUUUGGCUUUUCGGUUUGACUUUUAAGUUUGACUUUUGAGUUUGACUUUUUAAAUUUGACUUUUAAGGUUGACUUUCUCGGUUUUUAAGUCAAAGGGCAAUUAAAAUAAAUAAAUAAAUAUAAAAAAAAAGGAAAAUGAGUUCCGCAUCAAUUCCGGUAAAUAAAGUUUCAUGUACUCCAUCUUGUGAAACUACUAUUAGAUUUCUCCGAGAUCAAAUCGAUUUAUUAAAAAGAGAAAAUGAGGACCUUAAAUAUGAAGGAUAUACGUUAAGGAAAGGUCAGAAACCGUUAAAAGCUCAAUUAGAAACCAAAAUCAAGGAUUUCCGGAAAUUACAAGAAGAUUACAGCAACAAGUGUGAAAAUUAUGAUCACAUUAAGAAAAAACUUGAUGCUGUAACUGAAGAACUUGACGCUUUGAAAAUAAAGUAUGGAAAAACAGAUGUUAGUUUCAAAAAUUACACUGCGUCAAGUAAGACAGUCGAGUCCUUAUAUGAAACCCAAUUAAAAUUCAAAGAAGAUCAAAACAAGGGUCUAGGGUAUGAUACUGUUCCUCCACCUUUCAAUCAUAACUACACAUCCAUCCCUAUGACACAGGACGAAAUUGACAGGGAGGCCCAUAUUUGAUAUGGCAAACCAGCUGGAUUUGUGUCAGGAGGUAUUCAAGUUGAAGAUACUAAUGCUUAUACUUUAUGUGCAGGUAAAGUAGCAGAGGAUGAGAACAAGGAGAACACCAUUGAACAAACCAACAUCUCCUUGAACUCUGAAUCUGUUGCUUCGAACUCAACUGCUUCUGAUCAACCUGCUGUUGAGAAGUACAGGCCACCAAAUCAAGUGAAACAGCCGACUUGCUGCAAGUGUGCUUGUGGGAACAAUCAGAAACGAGGCAAGGAUACGCCACCAAGGGCAGGAAGAAACAACUUCAUAGUGAAGAAAAAGACUUGUUUUCACUAUGAAACACCUUGACACAUUGCCAGAUAUUGUCCUAAUCGAGCAUACGUUCCCUACUAUGCACAAGGGUGGCAGAACACGCCAAGAGGGAGAUACUUCAAAAGAAACCCCUCAAGGUCACGUUCAGACAAUGGCGACUGUAAUGACACGAAGGGCAAGAGUUCAACUCCCAAGGCCAAGAAAUCAAAUCCCAUGGUCAAGAAGGGAAUGUCGGCCAAGAAGUCAAAUCCAAGAGAUGCUCCCAUGAAGCCAAAAUCAAAGUCAUCUCAACAGCCGACAUCAAGUUCAAAAUCAAGUGUUGAGCCACCUAUCAGAUCAAAAAAGAAAUGGGUUAAACCCAACUACAAAUGGGUUCCAAAGGCUCACUCUCCCAAAUCUUCUAAUGCUUAUAAUAUUUUUACAUAUUCUGUUUGUGAUAAGUAGGACAUGUCAUGCGAGAGAGUAUCAUGCAAAGAUGACAAAGGUCGACCUAGUUUCAAAAUGGACUAGGUUCCAAAGACCAACUGAUCCCGCUUUGUGUCGGAGCAGCUAUGGAGGCAUAUCAUCAGACUUCGGUUUGUUGGUAGUGGCUGCUCCUGGCAUAUGAUUGGGGACAUCUCUCAACUGUACAACACUCAGAACUUUGUUUGAGAGUAUGUGUCCUUUUGCGGGAAAGGAAGAAAAGAAGNUUUGUGCUUAAUGACAUGAAGAAUUUUCGGAUCUGUUUUGAGAUUACGUGUGCUGUUCUCAGACCUUCUGGAUGCAAAUUCAAUCCGUGACUUACGGUUUGAGUUUUCUUCUCUAUACUCCUGAGUUUUUCUUAAGCUGAUUCGCUUUAAAGACAAAUUUUUGUUUUAGGACAGUUUAAAUUUGCACAUUUACUUUCAUUUCUCUCUUAUGCACAAAUUUAGGGGGAGAAAUAAAAACAAAACAAAAAUUUAAAAAUUUAAAAAAAUUAGAAAACAAAAUAAUAAUAUGUUGGUUAUGGAAUGUACUUAAGGGAGAUGUUUUGGGAAGUGAUAUGAUUAUGUGAUAACAGGCAACCCGAGUCUGCGUAACGUACCCAAAGUUGAAGGGUCUAUGCUCUGGUUUUAAGCGUCAGUAGGCACGAAAGAUUCUAAAUGGUCAUGACUAGGCAGAAUUGAACUUAAGAAAUCAAAUGACUUGACAAAUCUUGACCUAGUUAGAUCCGUUUAGCCUGACAAUACGACGCUUGGAUAGGUUGAGCAGGGAGAUAUAUAU